UAAAAGUAGAAAUACUCUGGUCACCCAAUCAGGCUUACUGGUGUCUGCUGGUCAAGCUGAAUAAGUUGGAUGGCAAGCCAAUUGGACAGUCCCUCUUAACCCCUGAAGAGCAAGAAGCAGUCUGUUCUUACUCAUGGACUCAAGAUGGACAUGGACAAAGUUGAGCUGAUCGUCUUCCAAGGUGUGGUGAGGUUUGGCCGGGACAUUCAGGUAGCCAUAGCGCUCCUUGUUACACAGUUUAUAUGAUUACAUAAACCACAGGCAAUCGCUAUCGAACCUGCAGCCCGGCAGGAGAAGGCGAACACGAUGAUGUCGUCGUAUGGCCACGAGUAGUCCUUAUGAGGAGGGAAGAAGGCCAGUUUCUUCA
Molecule: long non-coding RNA, 367 nt
Organism: Micropterus salmoides (largemouth bass)
Lineage: Eukaryota; Metazoa; Chordata; Actinopteri; Centrarchiformes; Centrarchidae
Exons: 3
Source: RefSeq, a predicted model, not a curated record